AGCGAACGCUGGCGGCAGGCUUAACACAUGCAAGUCGAACGGUCCUUUCGGGGAUAGUGGCGGACGGGUGAGUAACACGUGGGAAUGUGCCUUUAGGUUCGGAACAACUCAGGGAAACUUGAGCUAAUACCGGAUGUGCCCGUAAGGGGAAGAUUUAUCGCCUUUAGAGCAGCCCGCGUCUGAUUAGCUUGUUGGUGGGUAAAGGCCGUACCAAGGCGACGAUCAGUAGCUGGUCUGAGAGGAGAUCAGCAUCACUGGGACUGAGACACGGCCCAGACUCCUACGGGAGGCAGCAGGUGGGGAAUAUUGGACAAUGGGCGCAAGCCUGAUCCAGCCAUGCCGCGUGGAUGAUGAA
RNAcentral lists this ribosomal RNA (355 nucleotides) under uncultured bacterium. Its description in RNAcentral is "bacterial SSU rRNA". It matches the Rfam family "Bacterial small subunit ribosomal RNA", at positions 29 to 412 of the family's 1533-position model. The record is from RNAcentral.